ACGGAAGGCAGCAGUGGGGAAUAUUGGGCAAUGGGCGAAAGCCUGACCCAGCAACGCCGCGUGAAGGAAGAAGGUCUUCGGAUUGUAAACUUCUUUUAUGAGGGACGAAGGACGUGACGGUACCUCAUGAAUAAGCUACGGCUAACUACGUGCCAGCAGCCGCGGUAAUACGUAGGUAGCGAGCGUUAUCCGGAUUUACUGGGUGUAAAGGGCGCGUAGGCGGGGAAGCAAGUCAGGUGUGAAAUCUAUGGGCUUAACCCAUAAACUGCACUUGAAACUGUUUUUCUUGAGUGCUGGAGAGGUAGACGGAAUUCCUAGUGUAGCGGUGAAAUGCGUAGAUAUUAGGAAGAACACCAGUGGCGAAGGCGGCCUACUGGACAGUAACUGACGCUGAGGCGCGAAAGCGUGGGGAGCAAACAGGAUUAGAUACCCUGGUA
RNAcentral lists this ribosomal RNA (437 nucleotides) under uncultured Oscillospiraceae bacterium. RNAcentral describes it as "bacterial SSU rRNA". It matches the Rfam family "Bacterial small subunit ribosomal RNA", at positions 341 to 792 of the family's 1533-position model. The record is from RNAcentral. Lineage: Bacteria; Bacillati; Bacillota; Clostridia; Eubacteriales; Oscillospiraceae.